RNAcentral lists this ribosomal RNA (253 nucleotides) under uncultured bacterium. Its description in RNAcentral is "partial 16S ribosomal RNA". It matches the Rfam family "Bacterial small subunit ribosomal RNA", at positions 524 to 776 of the family's 1533-position model. The record is from RNAcentral.
UACGUAGGGGGCAAGCGUUGUCCGGAUUUAUUGGGCGUAAAGAGCGUGUAGGCGGCUUCACAGGUCCGCUGUGAAAACUCGAGGCUCAACCUCGAGCUGUCGGUGGAAACCGUGUGGCUAGAGUCCGGAAGAGGAGAGUGGAAUUCCCGGUGUAGCGGUGAAAUGCGCAGAUAUCGGGAAGAACACCCGUGGCGACGGCGGCUCUCUGGGACGGUACUGACGCUGAGACGCGAAAGCGUGGGGAGCGAACAGG